This 253-nucleotide ribosomal RNA is filed under the name uncultured bacterium. Its description in RNAcentral is "partial 16S ribosomal RNA". It matches the Rfam family "Bacterial small subunit ribosomal RNA", at positions 524 to 776 of the family's 1533-position model. The record is from RNAcentral.
UACGAGGGGGGCAAGCGUUGUUCGGAAUUAUUGGGCGUAAAGGGUGCGUAGGCGGUUUGGUAAGUCUGAUGUGAAAUCUAUGGGCUCAACUCAUAGUCUGCAUCGGAAACUGCCGGGCUAGAGUCCGGAAGAGGCGAGUGGAACUCCUGGUGUAGCGGUGGAAUGCGCAGAUAUCAGGAAGAACACCGACGGCGAAGGCAGCUCGCUGGGACGGUACUGACGCUGAGGCGCGAAAGCGUGGGGAGCGAACAGG